UUCCAUUCCUUGCAUGCUUACUUAGUAGUGUAGCGGUAUGGGCUUGACACUUGGACUAGGGAGGUAUGAGGAUUGGGUCUUGAGACAAAGAAUCCUAUAGUGGCAAAAGUGAUGAACUUGGACAUAGCCUAGUAGAGUGGCAUUGACUAGUGUAGUAGAAACACUAAACUUGAACGAGUGGCAUGUCGACUAGUUAGAAGAUAUUACUACAACGAUUGAACGAGUGGCAUCAAGUCUAGUGUAGUAAACAUGA
This 253-nucleotide long non-coding RNA is filed under the name Ananas comosus (pineapple). RNAcentral describes it as "long non-coding RNA (ACOM_LNC009088)". The record is from RNAcentral. Lineage: Eukaryota; Viridiplantae; Streptophyta; Magnoliopsida; Poales; Bromeliaceae.